This 276-nucleotide ribosomal RNA is filed under the name Triticum aestivum (bread wheat). Its description in RNAcentral is "partial small subunit ribosomal RNA". Lineage: Eukaryota; Viridiplantae; Streptophyta; Magnoliopsida; Poales; Poaceae. The record is from RNAcentral.
AUGUUUUCUGGGAAGACUAGUAACACAUAUUCACUCCACGGAAUAGUUAAUGAGUCUCUGAAGCCGAAGUUCAACCUCUUUGUCAAGCAGGUGUCCGCCAGCAUUGGGAUGGCAGAGCCACACAUUGAUAUCAAGUCUGUCAUUGCCUUUACCAUGUUUCUUAAAGCCUUUGGUGGUCUCCAUUUCAUCAUCAGCAGCUCGUUCGGAGCGGUCAUACUGCUUCUGUAUUUGAUCUUCAUAUAUUUUGCUUUUGCAAUAUCCUGUUUUAACAUCUGA